RNAcentral lists this ribosomal RNA (544 nucleotides) under uncultured Glomeromycotina. RNAcentral describes it as "SSU rRNA". It matches the Rfam family "Eukaryotic small subunit ribosomal RNA", at positions 548 to 1097 of the family's 1831-position model. The record is from RNAcentral. Lineage: Eukaryota; Fungi; Glomeromycota.
UUGGAGGGCAAGUCUGGUGCCAGCAGCCGCGGUAAUUCCAGCUCCAAUAGCGUAUAUUAAAGUUGUUGCAGUUAAAAAGCUCGUAGUUGAAUUUCGGGGUUCUACCGUUGGUCGGGCUAUUGUCUGUACUGGCGUGUAGAAUUUCUACCUUCUGGGGAACUAUCAUGUUAUUAAUUUAGCGUGGUAGGAAACCAGGACCUUUACCUUGAAAAAAUUAGAGUGUUCAAAGCAGGCUUAUGUCUGAAUACAUUAGCAUGGAAUAAUAAAAUAGGACGGUGGUCCUGUUUUGUUGGUUUCUGAAUCACCGUAAUGAUUAAUAGGGAUAGUUGGGGGCAUUAGUAUUCAAUUGUCAGAGGUGAAAUUCUUGGAUUUAUUGAAGACUAACUACUGCGAAAGCGUUUGCCAAGGAUGUUUUCAUUAAUCAAGAACGAAAGUUAGGGGAUCGAAGACGAUCAGAUACCGUCGUAGUCUUAACCAUAAACUAUGCCGACUAGGGAUCGGACGAUGUUAACUUUUCUUGACUCGUUCGGCGCCUUACGGGAAA